RNAcentral lists this ribosomal RNA (868 nucleotides) under marine metagenome. Its description in RNAcentral is "bacterial SSU rRNA". It matches the Rfam family "Bacterial small subunit ribosomal RNA", at positions 653 to 1520 of the family's 1533-position model. The record is from RNAcentral.
AGGGGAGAACGGAAUUCCUGGUGUAGCGGUGGAAUGCGCAGAUAUCAGGAGGAACACCGAUGGCGAAGGCAGUUCUCUGGGCCGUUACUGACGCUGAGGAGCGAAAGCGUGGGGAGCGAACAGGAUUAGAUACCCUGGUAGUCCACGCCGUAAACGGUGGGUGCUAGCUGUGGGCCACAUUCCACGUGGUCCGUGACGAAGUUAACACAUUAAGCACCCCGCCUGGGGAGUACGGCCGCAAGGCUAAAACUCAAAGGAAUUGACGGGGGCCCGCACAAGCGGCGGAGCAUGCGGAUUAAUUCGAUGCAACGCGAAGAACCUUACCAAGGCUUGACAUAUAGAGGAAAAGUACAGAAAUGUGCUCCCCGUAAGGUCUCUAUACAGGUGGUGCAUGGUUGUCGUCAGCUCGUGUCGUGAGAUGUUGGGUUAAGUCCCGCAACGAGCGCAACCCUCGUCCUAUGUUGCCAGCACGUUAUGGUGGGAACUCAUGGGAUACUGCCGGGGUCAACUCGGAGGAAGGUGGGGAUGACGUCAAAUCAUCAUGCCCCUUAUGUCUUGGGCUUCACGCAUGCUACAAUGGCCGGUACAGAGGGCUGCAAUACCGUAAGGUGGAGCGAAUCCCAAAAAGCCGGUCUCAGUUCGGAUUGAGGUCUGCAACUCGACCUCAUGAAGUCGGAGUCGCUAGUAAUCGUAGAUCAGCAACGCUACGGUGAAUACGUUCCCGGGCCUUGUACACACCGCCCGUCAAGUCACGAAAGUCGGUAACACCCGAAGCCGGUGGCCCAACCUUUUGGAGGGAGCCGUCUAAGGUGGGACUGGUAAUUGGGACUAAGUCGUAACAAGGUAGCCGUACCGGAAGGUGCGGCUG